AGGCACAAAGAGAAAUGAGGAAUGAAUGAAUGAAUGAGUAUUAUUGAGCAAGGAAUUUUAUUUCUUCAUGCGAGAAACAUUCAGCGGGAAUCUUUGCUAGGCAAUGGGAAAAAAACAAAAUGGACGAAACAAAGAAAUCUACAUGUUUCCUCCAGGAGGCCCACCCAGGCCCCUGGGACCAGAGCAGGCCCCCUUUUCACAUUAUCCAUCAUGUAUCUCAUUGUGAUGAUGAGUUCAACAUGGGGUUAGCUGCUGGCACUGCGAGCUCUUUGAGAGCCAUGAGCCUGGCUGUCCUGCUUGUCACUACAGCCCUGGAGCCUCAUAGCUAGUGUAUGGCACAGAGUGGGCGCCCAGGGAAAAUCUGUGGAAGGAAAAGAGAGAAGGAGGAAAGGCAGGAAAGAGGAAGAAAGAAGUCCAAAUACUCUGAGAUGGAGAUUAGGAAAGAAUAGAAAACAUGUAAGAGAGGCAACAAAAGCCAAGUCCUGAAGCAUGAACAGGAUUGACCUGGUAAAGGCUGAGGCAGCUGCGAACAGAAAGGCCUGGAGUUUGAGAGAACAGUCGUGUUUGGGGAGAAACUUCAGUGGAUGCUGAGUUGGGUAGAUAAGUUAGUUCAUGGAGGGCCGUAAAUGCUUUGCCAAGGACUCUGGCCUCUAUUCUGCAGGUGAUAAAACACCACUGAACAAUUUGAAACUGAACUGUGAAAAUCCAGUAUGGCUUUUCUCUUUCCACAGGGUGUGAUGAGCAGAGGACAGAGGCCCAGUUACUAUCAAUCUCCAGGGCUAACUCAACAGGGUGCUUACAGGGUGCCAAGCGCUGACGCUGAAACACAUAACUGUAAAGAGCCCCCACGAGCAGAAGGAAACAACCACCCACCAACAACAAACUCUACAGUGCCUCCGAUUUUUCACCACACGUAGUAGGAACUAAACAAGAAUUUAUGAAAGGAAUGCCUUCUGACCCACUUGCGAAGAAGCAACUUAUAAGAAAAAUAAAUGUACACAAAGGCAGCUUGGAGUCAAGUCAUAAGUAGACAGAGAGAAGAGAGAGAGGAAGGAUAUGAAUUCCCCAGCCCAGAUUCUGGAUCUGCACUCAGACAAUUUGGGAUAAACUCCCAGAUCUGCUGCUUACUAACUUCAUCAUUUCAUAGGCUGCUUAUUUACCUGUGGCUCCACUUUGUCAUCUAUAAACUGAGUGUGAAACUCACGGUACCUACUUCAUAGCAUUCUUGUGAGAUUAAAAGACCUGAGGACUGUGCCCGGCACACAGGAAGUGGUCUAUAAACAUAGAUUAUUAACACUGUUCCAGGAAUCUAAGAUUGGCCAUACCUGGAUCAGAGGAUUAAACCAAGCCCGAGCUUCCUGCAGCCAAAGCCAGAGAGCAAGAAUUGUUUAACUGGAGCCCAUGGACCCUCCAAGAAUGUCCUAAAUUCUACAUGAAAAUCUUCUGGCAUGCGCUUAUGAACAUUUUUCGCAGGAAAGAAUCUCAAACUUUUGUCCCUAAAAGGAAGUGUGAUCCAAAAAGAAGUAAAACCCACCACUGACUGGAUGACCUCUUAAUUUCUUUGGUCUGCAAAAUUCUAGAAUUUCACCUUUAGU
This is a non-coding RNA of Equus caballus (horse), 1595 nucleotides long. The record is from RefSeq and is a predicted model, not a curated record. NCBI's taxonomy places the organism in Eukaryota, Metazoa, Chordata, Mammalia, Perissodactyla, Equidae.